GAUGAAGAACGCAGCGAAAUGCGAUACGUAAUGUGAAUUGCAGAAUUCAGUGAAUCAUCGAAUCUUUGAACGCAUAUUGCGCUCUUUGGUAUUCCGAAGAGCAUGCUUGUUUGAGUAUCAGUAAACACCUCAACCUCUUCUUGAUUUUUCAAAAGGAGGGUGGACUUGAGCUAUCCCAACAACCUUUACCGGUCGGCGGGCGGCUUGAAAUGCAGGUGCAGCUGGACUUUUAUCUGAGCUAAAAGCAUAUCUAUUUAGUCCUCGUCAAACAGGAUUAUUACUUUUGCUGCAGAUAACAUAAAGGAUAAUUGUCCUCUUUGCUGACUGAUGCAGGAUUUUACGACACUUUAUGUGUUGUUCAACUCGAUCUCAAAUCAAGUAAGACUACCCGCUGAACUUAAGCAUAUCAAUAAGCGGAGGA
This 421-nucleotide unclassified non-coding RNA is filed under the name soil metagenome. Its description in RNAcentral is "partial contains 5.8S ribosomal RNA, internal transcribed spacer 2, and large subunit ribosomal RNA". The stretch from base 1 to 120 matches the Rfam family "5.8S ribosomal RNA", at positions 35 to 154 of the family's 154-position model. The record is from RNAcentral.